UCCUUGAUAGUAUAGUGGUGAGUAUCUCCGCCUGUCACGCGGAAGACCCGGGUUCAAUUCCCGGUCAAGGAG
Molecule: transfer RNA, 72 nt
Filed under: Mortierella sp. AM989
Lineage: Eukaryota; Fungi; Mortierellomycota; Mortierellomycetes; Mortierellales; Mortierellaceae
Rfam family: tRNA
About the family: Transfer RNA (tRNA) molecules are approximately 80 nucleotides in length. Their secondary structure includes four short double-helical elements and three loops (D, anti-codon, and T loops).
Source: Rfam by way of RNAcentral